Molecule: non-coding RNA, 2114 nt
Organism: Monodelphis domestica (gray short-tailed opossum)
Lineage: Eukaryota; Metazoa; Chordata; Mammalia; Didelphimorphia; Didelphidae
Source: RefSeq, a predicted model, not a curated record
AGAAGGCCAGCUCUAGAGUAAGAGCUUCUAGGUUGUACUAGUGCAUUCCCAGGCGGCUAGUGGUAUAGUAGAUAGAGACUGCUAGGUGUACCUGGAGUUGGGCAGACCUGAAUUCAAAUCUGACCUCAGAUACUCACUAGUUGUAUGAUCCUGGGCAAGCCAUUUAACUUAUGUUUGCCUCAGUAAAAAUCAGUAAAAUGGGAACGAACAAUAAAUGGCACCUACCUAAGAGAAUUGUUCUGAGAAUCAAAUGAGACAAAAUUUAUGCAAAUGCUUAAUGGUGUACAAUAAUAAAUGCUUAUUUCCUUCUCCUUCCCUUCCCACUAGAGGCCCCACAUAAUAUGGAAAGGCCUUCUUGUGGAAGAACUCUAGCAUGUUGGUUGGGGAGACUAUCAGAUAUGAAUAAGAAUCACACAAGACAAAAAGACAGAGAUGGGUCAUGAUGAAUGCUCUUGGAAGGAAGACUCAUGCUGGUGUGAACAAGGAUCUACUUGGAUGAAUUCAAGGGUCCUGGAAGAAAAAAAAAAGGCUCAGAGCUUGGCACAGGGGUUUGUUUGGAAGACAAAGGAUCUCCGACUUAGAGCUAGAAGAGACUUGGCAGGCCUUUUAAUUCAGUUUUCUCAUUUUAUAGAUGGAGAAACUGGGGCCCAUUGGGACCUAUCCAAGGUCAUCCCAGCACUAGGUGGCAGGAUUUGAAGCUAGGAACAUUAAUUCCAGAACCAAAAUGCUCACCUUUAUCCCCAGCUGUUCAUACUCCUAGAAUGAUAAUUACUACCAUGAGACUUUCCAAACAAGGAUACCUCCAUUUAAAUAUGUUGGGCAAUACCCGUUACAACAAAAUUCCAUUACAGCAAAAGAACUUGGCCCCUUAUAGCUUGUUGCAAGAUUUGACCUACAGAACUUUCUGGAAUUGCAGCUGGAAGGAAUGAUUUACUUUCCAUGAAGACAGAUGGCCCCCUGCAAACUUCUUGGUACAUGCACGUACAUCCAUUGUAAGAGGCAUCCAGUCCACUCUUUGCCCAACCAGUUAGUUCCCUGUGACAAUGGAGGGGAGUACUUCCACAUAAUCCCAAAUGGAAGAAGUGAAAAGAUGAAGAUGAACUCUGAAAGGACUCCUGGAUUUCAAGGCCUACGAUUCAGAAUGAGUCCAGUAGUGCCUUCUCUUUUCACCACAGCUGAAUAAUGAGAGAACAAAGACCUAAUUUAAAGGACAGUGCACUUCUCAUGAGUAAAUACACAUUCCUAGCACAGCACAAAGUCCAGCUGUGGAAUUCAGCUGAAAUAAGUCAGUUAGCAGACAAGGCAAGAGACCCAAACUAAACGCAGGAAGACUGGGUACCAGCCCCAAUCCAGGACCCUAAGGUAGAUGCCCAAGCCUCAUAUUGUAAGCUAUGACAGACAUAGACCAAGAACAAGUAAGGAAAUCACCCCAAAUAGCCACCAAUAAAGAAAAAAAAAUUAAGCUCAUAACCUUCCAUCUAAGUGACUUGCCUAGGGUUAAAUAGCUAAGAAGUGUCUGAGACCAUAUUUGAAUACCAGACCUCCCAUCUCCAGGCCUGGCUCCCUAUUCACUGAGUCACCUAGCUGUCCCCCCAGCACAAAAUUUGAGAUUUUUUUUUGGACAAUGAAUAGUACUCUUAUAGCUAGAGUCAUCACAAACUCUAAUUCUAAGGUUCUGGGCACAGGAGAGAACAAGACCUUUCCCCCUUCAACCCAAACAGUUGCACACCUUUACUCCAAGCUCCAUAGAGGAGUAAAAGAGAGAUAUGCUCAUCAUUCCCUUGUUGAGUCAGUCAGACCAGACCUGCUAAAGCAAAGCAAUCAGAAAACAUGAAUACACUGCCUGAGAAGCAGAAGUGAAUGAAUGGUUCCUAUCACUUGCUAAUGCCCUUGCUCAAGUAACUAUAUACCACAACAGAGGAUAUGUAAAGUGGUCACCAGUCUCCCUUUCUCCCUGGGAGAUGGAGGGUCUGAGUACAUUUGUAAGUAUCCCACAAUGAGAAAGGUAGGUUAUAAGUCCUGUUAUGAGUAAGUCACUGACCCCUAUAUUGCCACUGUUCCAUUAUACAAUGAAACAUAAUUAAAAAAAAAAGAAUCCGAAUAAUAAAAUAACA